UGGGGAAUAUUGCACAAUGGGCGAAAGCCUGAUGCAGCGACGCCGCGUGAGGGAUGACGGCCUUCGGGUUGUAAACCUCUUUCAGUUGGGACGAAGCGCAAGUGACGGUACCUGCAGAAGAAGCACCGGCUAACUACGUGCCAGCAGCCGCGGUAAUACGUAGGGUGCGAGCGUUGUCCGGAAUUACUGGGCGUAAAGAGCUCGUAGGCGGUUUGUCACGUCGUCUGUGAAAUCCUAGGGCUUAACCCUGGACGUGCAGGCGAUACGGGCUGACGUGAGUACUACAGGGGAGACUGGAAUUUCUGGUGUAGCGGUGGAAUGCACAGAUAUCAGGAAGAACACCGAUGGCGAAGGCAGGUCUCUGGGUAGUAACUGACGCUGAGGAGCGAAAGCAUGGGUAGCGAACAGG
RNAcentral lists this ribosomal RNA (409 nucleotides) under bacterium. Its description in RNAcentral is "partial 16S ribosomal RNA". It matches the Rfam family "Bacterial small subunit ribosomal RNA", at positions 355 to 776 of the family's 1533-position model. The record is from RNAcentral.